This 460-nucleotide ribosomal RNA is filed under the name uncultured bacterium. RNAcentral's name for it is "partial 16S ribosomal RNA". It matches the Rfam family "Bacterial small subunit ribosomal RNA", at positions 338 to 795 of the family's 1533-position model. The record is from RNAcentral.
CCUACGGGAGGCAGCAGUGAGGAAUCUUGGUCAAUGGGCUUACGCCUGAACCAGCCAAGUCGCGUGAGGGAAGACUGCCCUAUGGGUUGUAAACCUCUUUUGUCAUGGAGCAACGCCGGCUACGUGUAGACGGACUGAGAGUACAUGAAGACAAAGCAUCGGCUAACUCCGUGCCAGCAGCCGCGGUAAUACGGAGGAUGCGAGCGGUAUCCGGAGUUAUUGGGUUUAAAGGGUGCGUAGGCGGAAUGCCAAGUCAGCGGUAAAAUCGGGGGGCUCAACCUCGCUCCGCCGUUGAAACUGGCGUUCUUGAGUGGGCGAGAGGUAUGCGGAAUGCGUGGUGUAGCGGUGAAAUGCAUAGAUAUCACGCAGAACUCCGAUUGCGAAGGCAGCAUACCGGCGCCCAACUGACGCUGAAGCACGAAAGCGUGGGUAUCGAACAGGAUUAGAUACCCCGGUAGUC